Molecule: ribosomal RNA, 425 nt
Filed under: uncultured Azospira sp.
Lineage: Bacteria; Pseudomonadati; Pseudomonadota; Betaproteobacteria; Rhodocyclales; Rhodocyclaceae
Description: bacterial SSU rRNA
Rfam family: Bacterial small subunit ribosomal RNA
Source: RNAcentral
GGGGAAUUUUGGACAAUGGGGGCAACCCUGAUCCAGCCAUGCCGCGUGAGUGAAGAAGGCCUUCGGGUUGUAAAGCUCUUUCGGCGGGGAAGAAAUGGCAACGGCUAAUAUCCGUUGUUGAUGACGGUACCCGCAUAAGAAGCACCGGCUAACUACGUGCCAGCAGCCGCGGUAAUACGUAGGGUGCGAGCGUUAAUCGGAAUUACUGGGCGUAAAGCGUGCGCAGGCGGUUUCGUAAGACAGACGUGAAAUCCCCGGGCUAAACCUGGGACUGCGUUUGGGACUGGGGGGGUAGAGUACGGGCAAGGGGGGUGGGAUUCCACCGGGAGGAGGGAAAUGCGUAGGGAUGGGGAGGAAUACCGAUGGCGAAGGCAGCCCCCCUGGGUAGUACUGACGCUCAUGCACGAAAGCGUGGGGAGCAAACC